This 754-nucleotide ribosomal RNA is filed under the name Acinetobacter johnsonii. Its description in RNAcentral is "bacterial SSU rRNA". It matches the Rfam family "Bacterial small subunit ribosomal RNA", at positions 28 to 776 of the family's 1533-position model. Lineage: Bacteria; Pseudomonadati; Pseudomonadota; Gammaproteobacteria; Moraxellales; Moraxellaceae. The record is from RNAcentral.
AUUGAACGCUGGCGGCAGGCUUAACACAUGCAAGUCGAGCGGGGAAGGGUAGCUUGCUACGUGACCUAGCGGCGGACGGGUGAGUAAUGCUUAGGAAUCUGCCUAUUAGUGGGGGACAACAUUCCGAAAGGAAUGCUAAUACCGCAUACGCCCUACGGGGGAAAGCAGGGGAUCUUCGGACCUUGCGCUAAUAGAUGAGCCUAAGUCAGAUUAGCUAGUUGGUGGGGUAAAGGCCUACCAAGGCGACGAUCUGUAGCGGGUCUGAGAGGAUGAUCCGCCACACUGGGACUGAGACACGGCCCAGACUCCUACGGGAGGCAGCAGUGGGGAAUAUUGGACAAUGGGCGCAAGCCUGAUCCAGCCAUGCCGCGUGUGUGAAGAAGGCCUUUUGGUUGCAAAGCACUUUAAGCGAGGAGGAGGCUACUUGGAUUAAUACUCUAGGAUAGUGGACGUUACUCGCAGAAUAAGCACCGGCUAACUCUGUGCCAGCAGCCGCGGUAAUACAGAGGGUGCGAGCGUUAAUCGGAUUUACUGGGCGUAAAGCGUGCGUAGGCGGCUUUUUAAGUCGGAUGUGAAAUCCCUGAGCUUAACUUAGGAAUUGCAUUCGAUACUGGGAAGCUAGAGUAUGGGAGAGGAUGGUAGAAUUCCAGGUGUAGCGGUGAAAUGCGUAGAGAUCUGGAGGAAUACCGAUGGCGAAGGCAGCCAUCUGGCCUAAUACUGACGCUGAGGUACGAAAGCAUGGGGAGCAAACAGG